UAUAAAAAUUUAAACAAGUCAAAACAUUUUGCCUUUUUCAUCAAAUACCAAAGAUUUGUAUUAACCUGAUUAUGCAGUAUGCACCAGUUAAACAACUACCAUAGCAAUUGUUUUUAAAACAUUGAAAGUAGUACAUAUCGUAUAAGCAUUAGUUGACGCUCUUGAGUAUUGAAACAAAUGAAAAAAGGUCAUAAACAUAAACUUUCAAAAUUAUUAUAGAAUUUAUAAAUCUAAAUGUUUCUUACAUUUUACGUAUUUAUUAUUCACGUGCGGAAAUACUCACAUGAAAUGUUUGAUAUUGAAUAUACAUAUCGAACUAAACUUUAUAAUGCUCGAAAUUUAGUAAACUGCAUAAUUAACAUUUGAAUUCAUGAUUAAUUUGCAUCAUUUGGAUCAACUGAAACUAUAGGAUCAUGUAUUGAGCUCAUCUAUAUUUU
Molecule: long non-coding RNA, 437 nt
Filed under: Mytilus galloprovincialis (Mediterranean mussel)
Lineage: Eukaryota; Metazoa; Mollusca; Bivalvia; Mytilida; Mytilidae
Source: RNAcentral